Molecule: long non-coding RNA, 1839 nt
Organism: Homo sapiens (human)
Lineage: Eukaryota; Metazoa; Chordata; Mammalia; Primates; Hominidae
Exons: 3
Source: RefSeq, a predicted model, not a curated record
GUACCUGGAAAAUGCAACAGCUAUUGGCCUGUUCUGAGGCGACUGGACAUCGUAUCUGACAUCAAAGCUUCCAGAGGUGGUCUGGACUAAGUCACCUGUUGCCACCCACAAAGCAUGACCAAAUAAGCUUACUUUCAGGCAAGUCCAUGGAAACUAAAACGCAAGAUUCAGAUCUCCUCCACUAAGGGUUAUGGGGAGGAUGUUCUGACUGGCAGUUGUGUGUCCUGAUUGUGUUGAAUUGAAUAGCAUAUUAACCACUUGGUAGAGUCUUUUUUUUUUUUUUUUUUUUGGAGUCAGAGUUUGGCUCUGUUGCCCAGGCUGGAGUGCAGUGGCAGGAUGUUGGCUCACCACAGCCUCCACCUCCUGGGUUCAAGUGAACCUCCCAUCUCAGCCUCCCAAGUAGCUGGAACUACAGGCAUGUGCCACCAUGCCUGGCUAAUUUUUAUGUUUUUAGUAGAGACAGGGUUUCGCCAUGUUGGCCAGGCUGGUCUCAAACUCCUGGCCUCAAGUGAUCUGCCUGCCUCCUCAGCCUCCCAAAAUGCUGAGAUUACAGGCGUGAGUCACUGCGCCUGGCCCGCUUCAUAGAGUCUUAGGAAAAGGGGUAGCAGAACCUGGACGUGAGGCUCCACAGGACUUGCUAGUUGUACUUAGCUACAUCCUAGUCCCUUCUCUGCCCCCACAAAGCCCAGCAGAGGCGACCAUGGCCAUCUUGGAGCUAGUUCUCAAUGUGGGAAAAAAUCAGUUCUAUGUCAAAAAUCUUCAGAAAAUGAGAGACGAGACCUGAGUCUUCAGGCUUACUUUCAUGUACGGAGAUGACAUGCUUGCACUCAACUUAUCGGUGAGUGGGAGGGCAAGUCUCUGCGUGGGAAGAACAAAUGGCCCCUCCCCAAGCAGGCUGAGCCAUCGUCGCCGGGCCUUGAACCCCUAGCUGAACACACACGCAGGCAGAAACUGAUUUCCCCUAAAACAGAGUGCUGCCAAGACCCCCGAUGCUCCAGAAUGGCCAUCAGUGCCGGGCCCCACCCCCAUCCUCUCCACCUGAAUGGGCACUGGCUGGGGGCCCUGUGCUUCACAGCAUUUCACAGAACAUAAGAAGAGUUAAGUGCCCUGGAAAUGGAACUAGAGGCAGGACAGAAGCCUCAAUAAGGCCGUGGGCAGUGAGCGCCCGCCAGCAAGGAUGUGCCUCGGCAGAAGCCCCCUGGGGCAGGGACAGGGCAGGCUCAAGACAGGCCAGGUCCCGUUCUUCAGGAAGCCGUCCCAGAUUGCCAGCAUGAGCCUGUAUGCUCACUCACCUCUUCUGCUAGGCUAGGGCUGCUGUGGAAAGCUCCAAAGUGGCCCGUUUCUUCACCAGACCCUUCUGGAGAGCUGCCCACCCAGGGGCUUCACCGCAAGCGAAAUCAACACGAUGCCCAACGGGCACGUCAAUAUGUGCAAAGCACUCAAAACCGUCUUCUGUAACUGGGAGUUAGACAUGAGGGCCAGCCACAAGAGCUCCCCUGCUGAGACACAGUGAGCUCCCUCACACGCUCACUGUGAGUAUUCAAAACUCCAUUUAAACUGACAAUCCUGAAAGCUGUUUACAUAUCUGUUCUUAAAGACUAAAUCUUUAACUUUCCCAAUUCUGUCUCAUGAGCUCAAUGAAAGAAAUCUUUUAGUAAAAUGCAGAAAGUAUCCUCUUUCACACACAGGACAGACAGCACAGCUUGCAAAGACCGAUCACUUCCUCCCACCAAGACAAGCACUGGCCUGGGCUGCGCAUGCAGGGGAGGAGGCAGGGCCCUGGUGGCCCCACAGCGUGCAGGGUGGGAGGCGGGGCCCCAGGGAGAGUCCCGCUGCCUG